CUUGGUCAUUUAGAGGAAGUAAAAGUCGUAACAAGGUUUCCGUAGGUGAACCUGCGGAAGGAUCAUUACAGAGUUCAUGCCCUCACGGGUAGAUCUCCCACCCUUGAAUACCUAUCUUUGUUGCUUUGGCGGGCCACGUCCGCGUGUUGGCUUCGGCUGGCUGCGCCCGCCAGAGGACCCAAACUCGUUUGUUUAGUGAUGUCUGAGUACUAUAUAAUAGUUAAAACUUUCAACAACGGAUCUCUUGGUUCUGGCAUCGAUGAAGAACGCAGCGAAAUGCGAUAAGUAAUGUGAAUUGCAGAAUUCAGUGAAUCAUCGAAUCUUUGAACGCACAUUGCGCCCCUUGGUAUUCCGAGGGGCAUGCCUGUUCGAGCGUCAUUAUGACCACUCAAGCCUGGCUUGGUGUUGGGGUCCGCGGUCCCGCGGCCCUUAAAAUCAGUGGCGGCGCCAUCUGGCUCUAAGCGUAGUAAUACUCCUCGCUACAGAGUCCCGGUGGAUGCUUGCCAGCAACCCUCAAUCUCACGGUUGACCUCGGAUCAGGUAGGGAUACCCGCUGAACUUAAGCAUAUCAAUAAGCGGAGGAAAAGAAACCAACAGGGAUUGCCUCAGUAACGGCGAGUGAAGCGGCAACAGCUCAAAUUUGAAAUCUGGCUCUUUCAGGGCCCGAGUUGUAAUUUGUAGAAGAUGCUUUGAGCGUGGCUCCGGUCUAAGUUCCUUGGAACAGGACGUCAUAGAGGGUGAGAAUCCCGUAUGUGACUGGGUGCCUUCGUUCGUGUAAAGCUCUUUCGACGAGUCGAGUUGUUUGGGAAUGCAGCUCAAAAUGGGUGGUAAAUUUCAUCUAAAGCUAAAUAUUGGCCAGAGACCGAUAGCGCACAAGUAGAGUGAUCGAAAGAUGAAAAGCACUUUGGAAAGAGAGUUAAACAGUACGUGAAAUUGUUGAAAGGGAAGCGCUUGCAACCAGACUUGCACGCUGUUGAUCAUCCGAGGUUUUCCCCGGUGCACUCGGCAGUGUUCAGGCCAGCAUCGGUUUUGGUGGGCGGAUAAAGGCCUUGGGAAUGUAGCUUCUUUCGGGGAGUGUUAUAGCCCUCGGUGCAAUGCGCCCUACCGGGACCUAGGACCGCGCUUCGGCUAGGAUGCUGGCGUAAUGGUUGUAAGCGACCCGUCUUGAAACACGGACC
This 1178-nucleotide ribosomal RNA is filed under the name uncultured fungus. RNAcentral describes it as "eukaryotic LSU rRNA". The stretch from base 527 to 1178 matches the Rfam family "Eukaryotic large subunit ribosomal RNA", at positions 1 to 667 of the family's 3401-position model. Lineage: Eukaryota; Fungi. The record is from RNAcentral.